GAUGAACGCUGGCGGCGUGCCUAAUACAUGCAAGUCGAGCGAACGGACGAGAAGCUUGCUUUUCUGAUGUUAGCGGCGGACGGGUGAGUAACACGUGGAUAACCUACCUAUAAGACUGGGAUAACUUCGGGAAACCGGAGCUAAUACCGGAUAAUAUUUUGAACCGCAUGGUUCAAAAGUGAAAGACGGUCUUGCUGUCACUUAUAGAUGGAUCCGCGCUGCAUUAGCUAGUUGGUAAGGUAACGGCUUACCAAGGCAACGAUGCAUAGCCGACCUGAGAGGGUGAUCGGCCACACUGGAACUGAGACACGGUCCAGACUCCUACGGGAGGCAGCAGUAGGGAAUCUUCCGCAAUGGGCGAAAGCCUGACGGAGCAACGCCGCGUGAGUGAUGAAGGUCUUCGGAUCGUAAAACUCUGUUAUUAGGGAAGAACAUAUGUGUAAGUAACUGUGCACAUCUUGACGGUACCUAAUCAGAAAGCCACGGCUAACUACGUGCCAGCAGCCGCGGUAAUACGUAGGUGGCAAGCGUUAUCCGGAAUUAUUGGGCGUAAAGCGCGCGUAGGCGGUUUUUUAGUCUGAUGUGAAAGCCCACGGGCUCACCGUGGAGGGUCAUUGGAAACUGGAAAACUUGAGUGCAGAAGAGGAAAGUGGAAUUCCAUGUGUAGCGGUGAAAUGCGCAGAGAUAUGGAGGAACACCAGUGGCGAAGGCGACUUUCUGGUCUGUAACUGACGCUGAUGUGCGAAAGCGUGGGGAUCAAACAGGAUUAGAUACCCUGGUAGUCCACGCCGUAAACGAUGAGUGCUAAGUGUUAGGGGGUUUCCGCCCCUUAGUGCUGCAGCUAACGCAUUAAGCACUCCGCCUGGGGAGUACGACCGCAAGGUUGAAACUCAAAGGAAUUGACGGGGACCCGCACAAGCGGUGGAGCAUGUGGUUUAAUUCGAAGCAACGCGAAGAACCUUACCAAAUCUUGACAUCCUUUGACAACUCUAGAGAUAGAGCCUUCCCCUUCGGGGGACAAAGUGACAGGUGGUGCAUGGUUGUCGUCAGCUCGUGUCGUGAGAUGUUGGGUUAAGUCCCGCAACGAGCGCAACCCUUAAGCUUAGUUGCCAUCAUUAAGUUGGGCACUCUAAGUUGACUGCCGGUGACAAACCGGAGGAAGGUGGGGAUGACGUCAAAUCAUCAUGCCCCUUAUGAUUUGGGCUACACACGUGCUACAAUGGACAAUACAAAGGGCAGCGAAACCGCGAGGUCAAGCAAAUCCCAUAAAGUUGUUCUCAGUUCGGAUUGUAGUCUGCAACUCGACUACAUGAAGCUGGAAUCGCUAGUAAUCGUAGAUCAGCAUGCUACGGUGAAUACGUUCCCGGGUCU
RNAcentral lists this ribosomal RNA (1371 nucleotides) under uncultured bacterium. RNAcentral describes it as "bacterial SSU rRNA". It matches the Rfam family "Bacterial small subunit ribosomal RNA", at positions 28 to 1381 of the family's 1533-position model. The record is from RNAcentral.